UUCGGGGUAGAUCUCCCACCCUUUGUAUACCAUACCUCUGUUGCUUUGGCGGGCCGCCUAGCUACUGGCUUCGGCUGGUAAGUGCCCGCCAGAGGACCCAAAACCCCGAAUAUUAGUGUCGUCUGAGUAAAAUUUUAAUAUUUAAAACUUUCAACAACGGAUCUCUUGGCUCUGGCAUCGAUGAAGAACGCAGCGAAAUGCGAUAAGUAAUGUGAAUUGCAGAAUUCAGUGAAUCAUCGAAUCUUUGAACGCACAUUGCGCCCCUUGGUAUUCCGAGGGGCAUGCCUAUUCGAGCGUCAUUAUCACCCCUCAAGCCUAGGCUUGGUGUUGAGACCUGCUGUCAAGGCAGUCUCUAAAAUCAGUGGCAGUGCUGUCAGGCUCUAAGCGUAGUAAAUUCGUCGCUAUAGGGUCCUGGUGGAUACUCGUCAAAACCCCCCCAUUUUUUAAUGAUUGACCUCGGAUUAGGUAGGGAUACCCGCUGAACUUAAGCAUAUCAAUAAGCGGAGGACGUCUUGGUCAUUUAGAGGAAGUAAUCCGGCAUAUCAAUAAGCGGAGGAA
Molecule: ribosomal RNA, 558 nt
Filed under: uncultured fungus
Lineage: Eukaryota; Fungi
Description: eukaryotic LSU rRNA
Rfam family: 5.8S ribosomal RNA (bases 146-299)
Source: RNAcentral